RNAcentral lists this ribosomal RNA (468 nucleotides) under uncultured bacterium. RNAcentral's name for it is "partial 16S ribosomal RNA". It matches the Rfam family "Bacterial small subunit ribosomal RNA", at positions 28 to 507 of the family's 1533-position model. The record is from RNAcentral.
GACGAACGCUGGCGGCGUGCUUAACACAUGCAAGUCGAACGGAAAGGCCCUGCUUUUGUGGGGUGCUCGAGUGGCGAACGGGUGAGUAACACGUGAGUAACCUGCCCUUGACUUUGGGAUAACUUCAGGAAACUGGGGCUAAUAUAGGAUAGGAGCUCAUGCUGCAUGGUGGGGGUUGGAAAGUUUCGGCGGUUGGGGAUGGACUCGCGGCUUAUCAGCUUGUUGGUGGGGGAGUGGCUGACCAAGGCUGUGACGGGUAGGCGGCCUGAGAGGGUGACCGGCGACCUUGGUCCUGCGGUACGGCCCAGUCUCCUACGGGGGGCAGCGGGCGGGAAUCUUGCACAAUGGGCGGGAGCCUGAUGCAGCAACGCCGCGUGCGUGAUGACGGCCUUCGGGUUGUAAACCGCUUUCGCCUGUGACGAAGCGUGAGUGACGGUAAUGAGUAAAGAAGCACCGGCUAACUACGUG